GAUGAACGCUGGCGGCGUGCUUAACACAUGCAAGUCGAACGAUGAAGCCCAGCUUGCUGGGUGGAUUAGUGGCGAACGGGUGAGUAACACGUGAGUAACCUGCCCUUAACUCUGGGAUAAGCCUGGGAAACUGGGUCUAAUACCGGAUAGGAGCGUCCACCGCAUGGUGGGUGUUGGAAAGAUUUAUCGGUUUUGGAUGGACUCGCGGCCUAUCAGCUUGUGGGUGAGGUAAUGGCUCACGAAGGCGACGACGGGUAGCCGGCCUGAGAGGGUGACCGGCCACACUGGGACUGAGACACGGCCCAGACGCCUACGGGAGGCAGCAGUGGGGAAUAUUGCACAAUGGGCGCAAGCCUGAUGCAGCGACGCCGCGUGAGGGAUGACGGCCUUCGGGUUGUAAACCUCUUUCAGUAGGGAAGAAGCGAAAGUGACGGUACCUGCAGAAGAAGCACCGGCUAACUACGUG
RNAcentral lists this ribosomal RNA (466 nucleotides) under uncultured bacterium. RNAcentral describes it as "partial 16S ribosomal RNA". It matches the Rfam family "Bacterial small subunit ribosomal RNA", at positions 28 to 507 of the family's 1533-position model. The record is from RNAcentral.